ACUCGCCACUACUACGCCGAUGUAUUUUCUUAAGCUUUUUAAAAAGAUAGCAAAUGGCAAAAAAUACACCACGACGACGAGAAUGGUUUCGAGAAGAGCGAGAAGGCGAACAAAACGAAACUGCCCACGUAAUGGUAUAAUAGGAAAAACAAAUAACAAUUCUAUAUCGCGCGCAGUGGUGGGGCCGCGCUCUGUCUGUGUGCCGCUGCACCCAGAUAGGCGCGAUGUGGAUGCAAUUUCGGCACCCCAAAUAUGUCGAUGUGUCGGUGUGACAGGUGAUGAGUUGAAUGACCUACCACUCUAGGGAGCGAGCGAGAAAGAGAGAGGAGAAUAUGAAAAAAAAUCGCCCAAAACAGCAGGCCAUGACAGUCGUAAAGCGGGGGUCGGGGCACCUACGGAAAUCCCAAAUGUUCGAAUCUGGUCUUGGUGUGAGUGAAAUUGCUGCUAUUCCUCCGACAAAGGAGGCGACGGUGGAUUACAACAAUGGCCGAUAAAAAUUGGCAGUACUACAGCCCCAGUUUGGUGCAGUUUGGUGAUAGUCGAAGCGAUUGAAAACUUUUGUGACAGUGAAAUCAUUUAUCAUACAUCAGUGAAAAUGAAUGACAUACGAUGGUGCACGGACAGUCGAACGAAAUUGGGUCAGCUCGGGAUGGAGAAAACCGUUCCUCAAUAUGGCUGAAUUGAGGAUAUUACACAAGAGAGUACGUGAGCGGAAUGAUUGACGCAUCCGGUAAAGCUUUUCGGGAUAUUGAAGAAAUAUCGAUAGAAUCGCUAGGAUCUUCCUAUUCCAAGCCCGAAAAUAAAUGUGAAAUAAUCGAAUUUUGGAUUGGUGAUGAAUAUUAGGCGAUAUUUCAAAGACCUGUUUUGCUAUUUGAUUCGUUCAGAAUUGAUUUUAAUACAAACAAAGCUCCGUAAAGCUCAUA
Molecule: long non-coding RNA, 923 nt
Organism: Anopheles arabiensis
Lineage: Eukaryota; Metazoa; Arthropoda; Insecta; Diptera; Culicidae
Exons: 3
Source: RefSeq, a predicted model, not a curated record